UACGUAGGGGGCAAGCGUUGUCCGGAUUUAUUGGGCGUAAAGAGCGUGUAGGCGCCAGGUAGGUCCGUUGUGAAAACUCGAGGCUCAACCUCGAGACGCCGAUGGAAACCACCUGGCUAGAGUCCGGAAGAGGAGAGUGGAAUUCCUGGUGUAGCGGUGGAAUGCGCAGAUAUCAGGAGGAACACCGAUGGCGAAGGCAGAUCUCCUGGGCCGUAACUGACGCUGAGGAGCGAAAGCGUGGGGAGCAAACAGG
This 253-nucleotide ribosomal RNA is filed under the name uncultured bacterium. RNAcentral's name for it is "partial 16S ribosomal RNA". It matches the Rfam family "Bacterial small subunit ribosomal RNA", at positions 524 to 776 of the family's 1533-position model. The record is from RNAcentral.